CCUUUCGUAGCCGAGUGGUGAGAGUAUCGGCAUGUAAAGCCAAGUAUCCCGGGUUCGAUUCUCGGCGAGAACG
This 73-nucleotide transfer RNA is filed under the name Agrilus planipennis (emerald ash borer). It matches the Rfam family "tRNA". Rfam says of the family: Transfer RNA (tRNA) molecules are approximately 80 nucleotides in length. Their secondary structure includes four short double-helical elements and three loops (D, anti-codon, and T loops). Lineage: Eukaryota; Metazoa; Arthropoda; Insecta; Coleoptera; Buprestidae. The record is from Rfam by way of RNAcentral.